RNAcentral lists this long non-coding RNA (1581 nucleotides) under Nicotiana benthamiana. Its description in RNAcentral is "long non-coding RNA (NBEN_LNC005629)". Lineage: Eukaryota; Viridiplantae; Streptophyta; Magnoliopsida; Solanales; Solanaceae. The record is from RNAcentral.
UGAGCACCAUCAAAUGAAAGAUAAUGAAACAGAGUAAUACAUGCCUAUGCAUACAUACAAAGGCAAAGAUGCACAGCCUUGUGUGUCUGUAUUUUCUAACCUUUCAGCUUAUAUAGAUUUCUAACAAGAUAAGCAAAAGGCUGUUGAGAUUUAUUCACUUUGCAUCAUCUUUUGGGGGCACUACAACAACAACAACGACACAGUAAAGUCACACUAGGUGGGGUCUAGGAAGGGUAGUGUGUACGCACCCUUACCCCUACCCCAAUGGGGUAUCUUUUUGGGGGCACUAUGUCUAUAAAUUCUCAAUGGGCCAAACAAUACAUGCCAAUUGUGUUCACCAAUGACAUACACAGGUAAUGUGACACCUUUUGUAGCUGUGACCCACCACAACCCGAGACAAAUCCCUUGGCUCGCACAAAGUUUUUAGUUCAAGAUGACUACUGGAAGUUUACUCGAGCCUCAUGAGACAUCGCAGCAGUCAUGUACAUAUCUGACAACAUUGAACAUAGCAUUAAAUAUUUUCAUUGUGCACGUCAAUUUACUUGCACCACGACUAUUCCAUCGGAUGUCUGCUAUCCCCAUCAACAGAAGUACCGGCUAUACCUUUGGGUGCACAGCACAAAGCAUUAGAUAUUUGCAACAUGCAGCAAAUUACCAAGGCUCCGUCAUGUUGUGCACAAGUCAACCUCAUGCUAUCCUUUUACAUGGAACUUUAUUUCGAUAUCUUGUCAAAUAUGCCUACCAAAGGAGAAAGAUGACUGUACAUUAGCAACAACUUGUCUAAAGCUCCUGAACCAGACUAUUUUGAAUUUUCCACCUCCUUCCAGUGAAGAAAGAAUAGACAACUGCUUUUGGUUGCAUGGAUACAACAACAACAACCCAGUAUAAUUCCACUUAGCGGGGUGUGGGGAGGGUAGUGUGUACGCAGACCUUACCCCUACCCUGGGGUAGAGAGGUUGUUUCCAAGCCCCCGGCAUCCUUCCCUCCAAGAACUUUCCACCUUGCUCUUGGGGAGACUCGAACUCACAACCUCUUGGUUGUAAGUGGAGAUUGCAUGGAUGAAUAACAGAAUCUUAAGGCCCAACAUUACACCUGCGAUGUCAGUGUGAAAUCAAGAAACUAGUAUAAUCGCACAAGUGGGUUUAGUGAGGAUAGAGUAUAUGCAAAACCGAAGCGAAAGAAUAAGGAUAAAAAUAAGAAACAUAAAUAACAGGUAGUAAAAGAAAACUAAGAAUAGGAAAAUACAAAAGCCAUACUAAUACUACUGAUAUGGAAAAGAAAUACCUCAACUAUAUACUAACCUUCUACUUGUUGGCCACUUAAGAUCAUAAUACGUACGGUCAACCAGAAGGAUUAGAAUCCACUUCAGAAGCAUGAUAACCACAUUGAAGUGAUUUUGAUUGAUGACCAUUAAAGUUUUGAAUCAUCAAGUCAAAUUUGCACAACAAAUAAUAAAGAACACACUAGGGCUUGUAUUUUUUUUCCAAGCAUCUGAUAGUUUAAGGGUUACCAAUGUAGGUACAACAACAACAACAACAACAACUACCCAGUAUACUCCCACCAGGUGGGGUCUGGGGAGGN